This 311-nucleotide ribosomal RNA is filed under the name uncultured bacterium. RNAcentral describes it as "bacterial SSU rRNA". It matches the Rfam family "Bacterial small subunit ribosomal RNA", at positions 28 to 326 of the family's 1533-position model. The record is from RNAcentral.
GAUGAACGCUAGCUACAGGCUUAACACAUGCAAGUCGAGGGGGAAACGAUAGAGAAAGCUUGCUUUUUCUAGGCGUCGACCGGCGCACGGGUGAGUAACGCGUAUCCAACCUGCCCAUCACUUGGGGAUAACCUUGCGAAAGUAAGACUAAUACCCAAUGAUAUCUCUAGAAGACAUCUGAAGGAGAUUAAAGAUUUAUCGGUGAUGGAUGGGGAUGCGUCUGAUUAGCUUGUUGGCGGGGUAACGGCCCACCAAGGCGACGAUCAGUAGGGGUUCUGAGAGGAAGGCCCCCCCANAUUGGAACUGAGACA